AAUUUUGUACAAUGAGGGAAACCCUGAUCCAGCCAUCCUGAGUGUCUGAUGAAGGCCUUCGGGUUGUAAAGUAAUUUUGGCAGAGAAGACAAGGUAUACCCUACUACGGGAUACUGCUGACGGUAUCUGCAGAAUCAGCACCGGCUAGCUACGUCCCAGCCGCCGCGGUAAUACGUAGGGUGCAAGCUUUAAUCUGAAUUACGGAGCGUAAAGCGUGUGUAGGCGGUUCGGAAAGAAAGUUGUGAGAUCCCAGGGAGCAACCUUUGAACUGCAUUUUUAACUGCCGAGAUAGAGUAUGUCAGAGAGGUGUAUAAUUCCACUUGUAGCAGUGAAAUGCGUAGAUAUGUGGAGGAAUACCGAUGGCGAAGGCAGCCCCCUUGGAUAAUACUGACCCGCAGACACGGAAGCAUGGGGAGCAAACAGG
Molecule: ribosomal RNA, 424 nt
Filed under: uncultured bacterium
Lineage: Bacteria
Description: partial 16S ribosomal RNA
Rfam family: Bacterial small subunit ribosomal RNA
Source: RNAcentral